UACAGAGGUCUCAAGCGUUGUUCGGAAUCACUGGGCGUAAAGGGUGCGUAGGCGGCACGGUAAGUCAGAGGUGAAAUCCCGGAGCUCAACUUCGGAAUUGCCUCCGAUACUGCCGUGCUUGAGGACUGGAGAGGAGAUUGGAAUUCACAGUGGAGCAGUGAAAUGCGUAGAUAUCGUAAGGAAGACCAGUGGCGAAGGCGAAUCUCUGGACAGUUACUGACACUGAGGCACGAAGGCCAGGGGAGCAAACGGG
This 253-nucleotide ribosomal RNA is filed under the name uncultured bacterium. RNAcentral's name for it is "partial 16S ribosomal RNA". It matches the Rfam family "Bacterial small subunit ribosomal RNA", at positions 524 to 776 of the family's 1533-position model. The record is from RNAcentral.